GCAGUAGCCGCGGGAAUACGGAGGGUGCAAGCGUUAAUCGGAAUUACUGGGCGUAAAGCGCACGCAGGCGGUCUGUCAAGUCAGAUGUGAAAUCCCCGGGCUUAACCUGGGAACUGCAUUUGAAACUGGCAGGCUAGAGUCUUGUAGAGGGGGGUAGAAUUCCAGGUGUAGCGGUGAAAUGCGUAGAGAUCUGGAGCAAUACCGGUGGCGAAGGCGGCCCCCUGGACAAAGACUGACGCUCAGGUGCGAAAGCGUGGGGAGCAAACAGGAUUAGAUACCCCAGUAGUCCCUGUCUCUUAUAU
Molecule: ribosomal RNA, 302 nt
Filed under: uncultured bacterium
Lineage: Bacteria
Description: partial 16S ribosomal RNA
Rfam family: Bacterial small subunit ribosomal RNA
Source: RNAcentral